Molecule: ribosomal RNA, 497 nt
Filed under: uncultured bacterium
Lineage: Bacteria
Description: partial 16S ribosomal RNA
Rfam family: Bacterial small subunit ribosomal RNA
Source: RNAcentral
GAUGAACGCUUUCUUCUUUCCUAAUACAUGCAAGUCGAGCGAACGGACGAGAAGCUUGCUUUUCUGAUGUUAGCGGCGGACGGGUGAGUAACACGUGGAUAACCUACCUAUAAGACUGGGAUAACUUCGGGAAACCGGAGCUAAUACCGGAUAAUAUUUUGAGCCGCAUGGUUCAAAAGUGAAAGACGGUCUUGCUGUCACUUAUAGAUGGAUCCGCGCUGCAUUAGCUAGUUGGUAAGGUAACGGCUUACCACGGCAACGAUGCAUAGCCGACCUGAGAGGGUGAUCGGCCACACUGGAACUGAGACACGGUCCAGACUCCUACGGGAGGCAGCAGUAGGGAAUCUUCCGCAAUGGGCGAAAGCCUGACGGAGCAACGCCGCGUGAGUGAUGAAGGUCUUCGGAUCGUAAAACUCUGUUAUUAGGGAAGAACAUAUGUGUAAGUAACUGUGCACAUCUUGACGGUACCUAAUCAGAAAGCCACGGCUAACUACGUG